This 395-nucleotide ribosomal RNA is filed under the name uncultured bacterium. RNAcentral describes it as "partial 16S ribosomal RNA". It matches the Rfam family "Bacterial small subunit ribosomal RNA", at positions 523 to 917 of the family's 1533-position model. The record is from RNAcentral.
AUACGUAGGUGGCAAGCGUUAUCCGGAUUUACUGGGUGUAAAGGGCGCGUAGGCGGGGAUGCAAGUCAGAUGUGAAAUCUAUGGGCUUAACCCAUAAACUGCAUUUGAAACUGUAUCUCUUGAGUGCUGGAGAGGUAGACGGAAUUCCUUGUGUAGCGGUGAAAUGCGUAGAUAUAAGGAAGAACACCAGUGGCGAAGGCGGUCUACUGGACAGUAACUGACGCUGAGGCGCGAAAGCGUGGGGAGCAAACAGGAUUAGAUACCCUGGUAGUCCACGCUGUAAACGAUGAAUACUAGGUGUGGGGGGACUGACCCCCUCCGUGCCGCAGUUAACACAAUAAGUAUUCCACCUGGGGAGUACGACCGCAAGGUUGAAACUCAAAGGAAUUGACGGG